RNAcentral lists this ribosomal RNA (468 nucleotides) under uncultured bacterium. RNAcentral's name for it is "partial 16S ribosomal RNA". It matches the Rfam family "Bacterial small subunit ribosomal RNA", at positions 28 to 507 of the family's 1533-position model. The record is from RNAcentral.
GACGAACGCUGGCGGCGUGCUUAACACAUGCAAGUCGAACGGAAAGGCCCUGCUUUUGUGGGGUGCUCGAGUGGCGAACGGGUGAGUAACACGUGAGUAACCUGCCCUUGACUUUGGGAUAACUUUAGGAAACUGGGGCUAAUACCGGAUAGGAGCUCCUGCUGCAUGGUGGGGGUUGGAAAGUUUCGGCGGUUGGGGAUGGACUCGCGGCUUAUCAGCUUGUUGGUGGGGUAGUGGCUUACCAAGGCUUUGACGGAUAGCCGGCCUGAGAGGGUGACCGGCCACAUUGGGACUGAGAUACGGCCCAGACUCCUACGGGAGGCAGCAGUGGGGAAUAUUGCACAAUGGGCGGAAGCCUGAUGCAGCAACGCCGCGUGCGGGAUGACGGCCUUCGGGUUGUAAACCGCUUUCGCCUGUGACGAAGCGUGAGUGACGGUAAUGGGUAAAGAAGCACCGGCUAACUACGUG